RNAcentral lists this small nuclear RNA (22 nucleotides) under Arabidopsis thaliana (thale cress). RNAcentral describes it as "snRNA_09350". Lineage: Eukaryota; Viridiplantae; Streptophyta; Magnoliopsida; Brassicales; Brassicaceae. The record is from RNAcentral.
UUUGCAUUUCAUUUAAGUUACA